GAAAGGAAAGAAAGAGCCCUCGAGAAAGGUAGAAAGGCAUUCCAGGAAGAGUAGCAUGAUCUUAUCAAAGUACCUAUCAAAUCUAGCUCAACAACGCGAAGGCAGUCACCAUUAGGCCUGCUAUGACGUACAUUCUGGCCCGACGGACACAGCAGUACUCGGUCCAGUCCAAGUCCCGGCUCUGCUGACAGCCAGCACUUGGAGGAGGAUGAAGUGACAUGAUGAAAGCAUCCUGGGAAGGCUGAUCACAAUCCAGGAAGCUGACGUCAGUCUAUUAGCGUGCCCCUGGGCACGGCUACAGUGGGCGGCAGAACUUCUAGGCAAAGUAAAAGGCUCUUCUGACCA
Long non-coding RNA from Hyaena hyaena (striped hyena), 345 nucleotides. RefSeq lists it as uncharacterized. Lineage: Eukaryota; Metazoa; Chordata; Mammalia; Carnivora; Hyaenidae. The record is from RefSeq and is a predicted model, not a curated record. The transcript is spliced from 2 exons.